This 1173-nucleotide ribosomal RNA is filed under the name Triticum aestivum (bread wheat). Its description in RNAcentral is "partial small subunit ribosomal RNA". Lineage: Eukaryota; Viridiplantae; Streptophyta; Magnoliopsida; Poales; Poaceae. The record is from RNAcentral.
AUGGCAAUGCAAGACCAUCCUUCUCCGUGUGGCCACCACCCGGGCGAGUUGAAAAAUUCCACUACCGCAAAAUCCAAGAAUAGCAAAGGGGUUCACUUGGAGGUUUCUUUUGAAGCAGUUGACCCUCCAGCCAUCUCACUGUGCCUGGUCAGCUGCGUUGAUCAGACCGGGGAUCGCUUGACAGCACCGCCUCGUAUACUUGGUGUAACUGGAGGCUUUGUACUGCUGGCUAUCACCUUCUCGGACAGUGUCAACCGUUACUUGCGGUUCAUCGAUUAUUUUGUUUACAAAGCAGGGCCCGGUUUCGCCUCUCUUCAUCUUCUUGCAAGGCCAUACCCGUCUUCUUUUUCGCCAAACAUGGCUGCCAUCUUGCCUGUUAGUGAUAACAGUGAAGACUUUGCUGUCAUUUUCCCACAUGUUGAAUAUUUCAGACUUGAGUCUCGCAAACAUUACACACAUUACACACUCCACAUAUAUCGAUCUGACACGAAUGAUUGGCACUCUCAGGUCGCUUGUAUCGCUGAGGAUAAUGAGACAAGGAAUGCCAGGGAUAAGCUAUUGCUUCAUAAUACCAUGAGCGUGGCAUAUGCAGAAAAGGGUAUCAUAGGUUGGAUUGAUCUCUGGUGGGGAAUUCUCUUAUGCAAUGUUUUGGAUAAAAAGCCUACCAUCCGUUUUGUUCCGUUGCCAGUUCCGGAACCGUGUGAUACGUCUGAGUUCCAUUUGAUGUUUGAGAAUCUCACUCCAAGACCACACCGUCAUGUGACGAUAUUCAAUGAUUUGAUCAAGUGUGUUGAGUUAGAUUUUCAUUUGCAAGAUGCUUUCUUCAACAUGAAGCGAGCAAAGGAUUAUGGCUGGAUGGCUAAAACAUGGACUAGAUCAAUUUAUUCAGAUGUUUGGUGUGAUGGCUUGACGAUUGAUACGUCUGAGAUAUCUUUCACCGACUCAAGUUUGCCGAAUUUGUUGCCUGGGAUGUUUGAUGAGGAAAACAAUUUGACUUGGAAGAAAUUGACUAGUGCUGGUCCUACAUUAAGCUUGCUUGAUGACAAUGUUAUUUACAUUAUGGCGAACGAGAACAUGUGCCAUCCGACAGCAUAUGUACUUACUGUGGACACCAAAAGUUUGAAGCUCGAGUCUGGUGCGCAGUGUGCUCCUGAAAAGACGGCGUGGUUCUAA